UCAUGUUGGUUUGCUGCACCCAUUAACUCAUCAUUUACAUUAGGUAUUUCUCCUAAUGCUAUCCCUCCCCCUGCCCCGCACCCCACGACAGGCCCCAGGGUGUGAUGUUCUCCUCCCUGUGUCCAAAUGAUCUCAUUGUUCAAUUUCCACCUAUGAGUGAGAACAUGUGGUGUUUGGGUUUCUGUCCUUGUGAUAGUUUGCUCAGAAUGAUGGUUUCCAGCUGCAUCCGUGUUCCUGCAAAGGACAUGAACUCAUCCUUUUUUAUGGCUGCAUAGUAUUUCCUGGUGUAUAUGUGCCACAUUUUCUUAAUCCAGUCUACCAUUGAUGGACAUUUCUGUUGGUUCCAAGUAUUUGCUAUUGUGAAUAGUGCCACAAUAAACGUGUGUACAUGUGUCUUUACAGUAGCAUGAUUUAUAAUCCUUUGGGUAUAUACCCAGUAAUGGGAUUGCUGGGUCAAAUGGUAUUUCUAGUUCUAGAUCCUUGAGGAAUUGCCACACUGUCUUCCGCAAUGGUUGAACUAAUUUACACUCCCACCAACAGUGUAAAAGUGUUCCUAUUUCUCCACAUCCUCUCCAGCAUCUGUUGUUUCCUGACUUUUUAAUGAUCGUCAUUCUAACUGGUGUGAGAAGGUAUCUCAUUGUGGUUUUGAUUUGCAUUUCUCUGAUGACCAGUGAUGAUGAGUAUUUUUUCCUGUGUCUGUUGGCUGCAUAAAUGUCUUCUUCUGAGAAGUGUCUGUUCAUAUCCUUUGCCCACUUUUUGUUGCGGUUGUUUGGUUUUUUUUAUUGUAAAUUUGUUUAAGUUCUUUGUAGAUUUUGGAUAUUGGCCCUUUGUCAGAUGGGUAGAUUGCAAACAUUUUCUCCCAUUCUGUAGGUUGCCUGUUCACUCUGAUGGUAAUUUCUUCUGCUGUGCAGAAGCUCUUUAAUUAGAUCCCAUUUGUCAAUUUUGGCUUUUGUUGCCAUUGCUUUUAGUGUUUUAGUCAUGAAGUCCUUGCCCAUGCCUAUGUCCUGAAUGGUAUUGCCUAGGUUUUCUUCUAGGGUUUUUAUGGUUUUAGGUCUAACAUUUAAGUCUUUAAUCCAUCUUGAAUUAAUUUUUGUAUAAGGUAUAAGGAAGGGAUUCAGUUUCAGCUUUCUACAUAUGGCUAGCCAGUUUUCCCAGCACCAUUUAUUAAAUAGGGAAUCCUUUCCCCAUUUCUUGUUUUUGUCAGGUUUGUCAAAGAUCAAAUGGUUGUAGAUCUGUGGUGUUAUUUCUGAGGGCUCCGUUCUGUUCCAUUGGUCUAUAUCUCUGUUUUGAUACCAGUACCAUGCUGUUUUGAGAGUUCUUUAUCUAUUUGUUUUUGUUUGUUUGUUUUAUGUUUUGUUUUUUGUUUUUUUGAGACAGAGUCUUGCUCUGUCGCCCAGGCUGGAGUGCAAUGGCGCGAUCUCAGCUCACCGUAACCUCAGCCUCCCGGGUUCAAGUGAUUCUCCUACCACAGCCUCCCAAGUAGCUGGAAUUACAGGCAGGCACCACCACACAUGGCUAAUUUUUGUAUUUUUUUUUUUUUAGUAGAGACGGUUGUUGUUGGCCAGGCUGGCCUCGAACUCCUGACCUCAGGUGAUCUGCCCACCUUGGCCUCCCAAAGUGCUAGGAUUACAGGUAUGAUCCACCACACCUGGUCCUUUAUCUAUUUUGAAUACAUAUUCUUUGUUUUUUAUUUUAUUUAUUUUUUUCUUUUUUGAGACAAGAGUUUUGCUCUUGUUGCCCAGGCUGGAGUGCAAUGGCAUGCUUGGCUCACCACAACCUCUGCCUCCCGGAUUCAAGCAAUUCUCCUGCCUCAGCCUCCUAAGUAGCUGAGAUUACAGGCAUGCAUAACCACACCUGGCUAAUUUUGUAUGUUUAGUAGAGACGGGGUUUCUCCAUGUUGGUCAGGUCGGUCUUGAACUCCCAACCUCAGGUGAUCCGCCCGCCUCAGUCUCCCAAAGUGCUGGGAUUACAGGCAUGAGCCACUGCUCCUGGCCUUGAAUACAUGUUCUUUAUCAGAUAUAUGAUUUACACUAUUUCUUCUAGUCUGUGGCUUGUCUUUUCAUUCUUUUAAUAGUGCCUUUUAAAGAGCAGGAGUUUUUUUAUUUUGGUGAAGUCCAAUUGAUCAAUAUUUUUCUUUUAUGGCUCAUGAUCUUUUGGUAUAUUUAGGAGUCAUUGCGUAACUCAAGAUCACAAGAAUUUUAUCCUCUGUGUUCUUCUAGCAGGCUUAUAAUUUUAGGUUUUUCAUUGUUGUUGCUCUCUUCAGAGACAAGGUCUUGUUUGUCACCCAGACUGGAGUGCAGUGGCUUGAUCAUAGCUCACUAUAACCUUGAACCCAAGCAAUCCUCCUGCCUCAGCCUCCCAAGUAGCUAGGACUACAGGCACAUGCCACUACAACCGUAGUCUAAGUUAAAAAUUUUUUUCAUGGAGACAGAAUCUCACUAUGUUGCCCAGGGUGGUCUCGAACUCUUGGACGCGAGCGAUUCUCCUGCCUCAGCCUCUCAAAGUGCUGGGAUUAUAGGCAUAAGCCACCAUGCCCAGCCAAAUUUAGGUUUUAUAAUUAGGUCUAUAAUCCAUUUUGAGUUAAUUUUUGUAUAUGGUAUAAGGAAUAAAUCAACAUUCCUUUUUUUGCUUUGCACAUAAAAUCCAAUUAUCCCAGCACUAUUUGUUGAAAAGACAAUCCUCUCUCUAUUUAAUUGCUUUUGCAUCUUUGUCAAAAAUAAGUAAUCCAUAUGUAUGUUGGUCUAUUUGUUCCAUUGACCUAUUUGUCUAUUUUGUUGCCAAUACCACACUGUCUUUUUGUAGGCUUUUUUUUUUUUUUUUGACAGAGUCUCACUCUGUCACCCAGGCUGGAGUGCAGUGGCACAAACACGGCUCACUGUAGCAUCGACCUCCUGGGCUCAAGCAAUCCUCCUAUCUCAGCUUCUCAAGUGCUAGGACCACAGGCACAUGCCACCACACCUGGCUAAUUUUUUUAUUUUUAUUUUUGUAGAGACCAGGUCUCACCAUGUUGUCCAGGCUGGUCUUGAAUUCCUGGCCUCAAGCGAUCUGCCUACCUUGGCCUCCCAAAGUCCUGAGAUUACAGGUAUGAGCCACUAUGCCUGGCCUGUUUUUUAAAAAACUUUUAGUUUCUAACUUGUAAUUGCUAGUGUAUAGACAUACGAUUUUUUUGCAUAUCAAUCAUGCAACCUACAAUUUUGUUAAAUUCACUUAUUCUAAUUUUUUCAUAGAUUUAAUCAGAUUUUCUACAUAGAUAAUCCUGUUGUCUGUGAGUAAAAACAGUUCCAUUUCCUUUUUUCCAAUCUGGAUGCCUCUUGCCUCUCAUUUCUUUUAUUUAUUUAUUUAUUUAUUUAUUUAUUUAUUUAUUUAUUUAUUUUUGAGAUGGAGUUUCACUCUAGUCACCCAGGCUGGAGUGCAGUGGCGGGACCUCAGCUCACUGCAACCUCCACCUCCCAGGUUCAAGCAAUUCUCCUGACUCAGCCUCCUGAGUAGCUGGGAUUACAGGUGCUUGCCACUACCCCCUGGAUGCCUUUUUUUCCUUCUUCUCUUGUUGCACUGGCCACAUACAAUGUUGAAUAGAAGUGGUAAGAUGAGAUAUCCUUGUCUUGUUCCUGAUCUUGAGGAGAAACUUUCAGUCUUUCACCAUUAAGAAUGAUGUCAGCUAGGCCAGGAGCGGUUGCUCACACCUGUAAUCCCAGCACUUUGGGAGGCCGAGGCAGAUCACCUGAGGUCAGGAAUUUGAGACCAGCCUGGCCAACAUGGUGAAACUCUGUCUCUACUAAAAAUACAAAAAUUAGCUGGGUGUGGUGGUGCACACCUGUAAUCCCAGCUACUCAGGAGGCUGAGGCAGGAGAAUCACUUGAACCUGGGAGGCGGAGGUUGCAGUGAGCCGAGAUUAUGCCACUGCACUCCAGCCUGGGUGAUGAGAGUUAAACUGCCUCAGACCAAAAAAAAAAAAAAAUGAUGUCAGCUGUAGGUUUUGGUAGAUUAACUUUAUCAGGAAGGACGAUGGCCUUUAUUGAAGGAGUUUCCUUCUUUUCCUAGAUUGCUAAAAGCUUAUAUCAGGAAUGGAUGUCAAAUUUUGCCAAAUUCUUCUUCUGUGUCAUUGAGAUGAUCUAUAUUUAUUUUGUCUGUUAAUAUGAAGAAUUACAUAAAUUGAUUUUUUUUGUUGUUUUUUUUUUUGUUUUUUUGAGAUGGAGUCUCACUCUGUCACCCGGGCUGGAGUGUAGUGGUGCAAUCUCGGCUCACUGCAACCUCCGCCUCCCAGGUUCGAGUGAUUCUCCUGCCUCAGCCUCCCAAGUUGCUGGGAUUACAGGCACCCGCCACCAAGCCUGGCUAAUUUUUGUAUUUUUAGUAGAGAUAGGGUGUCACCAUGUUGGCCAGGGUGGCCUCUAACUCCUGGCCUCAAGUGAUCCACCCACCUUGGCCUCCCAAAAUGUUGGGAUUACAGGCGUGAGCCACCAUGCCUGGCCUAUAAAUUGAUUUUUGAAUGUUAAAAUAAUUUUACUUUCCUGAACUAAACCCCACUUAUUCACAACAUGUUAUUCUUUUAAUAUAUAUUGUUGGAUUAAAUUUGCUAAAAUUUGGUUAAGAAUUUUUGCAUCUAUUUCAUGAGGAAUAUUGGUCUGUAUUUUUCUUUUCUUGUAAUGUCUUUGUUAGGUUUUGGUAUCAGAAUAAUGCUGACCUCAUAGAAUGAGUUAGGAGGUGCUCCCUCUUCUUCAGUUUUCUAGAAUACUUCAUGUAGAAUUGGUAUUAUUUCUUCCUUGAAUGUUUGGUAAAAUUCACUAGUGGUGAUGGCAGUGGUGGCCUGUCUGGAGCGGCUGCUGCCAUCAUGUCAGCUGCAGCAGGGAGGUGCAGCCAGGGCUGCACACUCUGUGAAGCCGGUGACAAGUGGGAGCCCUGUCCCUUCCAAGUUGGUGGGGGUGGGAGCUCCCCAGGUGCAGCCGCAGCCACCCAAGUUGUGGCUGCAGACUCAGGCCUCCGGCUCCAUGUUGCUGGCAGGAGCCCUACCCUCCCAAACUGUGGCUGUGGACCCAGGCAUCCCUGCACUUUGGGGGGCCCGAGAAGGAGCCCCUGUCCUCACAGGCUCAGAAAUGCCUGCUCCCACUGCCUGGCUUCUCUCUGCUUUUGGCACCUGAUCCAAUCUCAGAGCAAAGUCAGGGCCGAACCUAGGCCCGAACCUAGGCGCUCUCAUAGCCCAGCCAGGUGUGCACAUGCUCAGGGCAGUGCAGACACGCCAGCCCCCUGCUGCCCUGGCCCCCUUUGGGACCUUGGGCACCAACGAGCAUGGGAGGAAAGCCAAGUGGGGGCUGAGGGCAGCUCAGCACUGGCCUUCAGGCACCCCUUGGCAUGAACAGCCUGGGUGCCAUGAAUGGCAGUGGGAGGCAGACAGGCUCCUGGGCAGAAGGGGGUGGGUCCCUGGUGAGCUGCCAGUCCCGCAGACAGGAGUGGGAAUUUGUGGUGCCUUUUCCAGGCCCACCCAUGGCCACCCAUGGACCAAUCAGCAUGUACUUCCUCCCCUCUGAGGCACAUAAAAUCCCCAGGCUCUGCCAGAGCUGGGCAGAUGUUGGGAUGACCAGUUGAAGAGAGGAGCUACCCACUGCAGGGCCCCUCUCUGCUGAGAUUCAAGCAGACAUUGAGACAACCAGCUGCAGAGAGGAGCUACCCAUUCCAGGGCCUCUUCUCUGCUGAGAGCUGCAGAGAUGACAGGACAACCUGCCUGUAGAGAGGAGCUUCUGAUUCCACAGUCUCCUCUCUGCUAGGAGCUGAACACUCGUUGGGACAGCCAGGCUGUGGAAAGGAGCUGCCCCCUGCAGGAGACUGAGGGGUUCUAUCACUCAGUAAAGCUCCUCUUCACCUUGCUCACCUUCCACUUUUCUGAGUACCUCAUUCUUUCCAGUUGCAGGACAAGAACUUGGGACCCAUCAAAUGGUGGGACUAAAAGAGCUGUAACACAGACAGGGAUGAAACAUGCCCCCUUGUUCACCGUGUUGUGGGUGAAGAGGAGAGAAGAGCUGUGUCCCUUCAGGGAGGCCAGACCUGGGAGUUCCCCAAGCCAGGGCUGUGACUCCCUCUUUGGGGCCCUGCAGUUCCUAGCAUCUCCAAGCUUCUAUGUGCCACUGUGUUCCCUGGUGCCAGCCAUGGAAGCUGCUUGAGGUUUGCCGGGUCUGGCCACAGCCUCACAGAGAGCUGCCCACCUCACUGUAGCAGCCAGCAUGUCUGACUUUGCGCAGUGGCCAGACCCCAGGCUCGCUCACACACCUCUCGCCGUUCCAUGCCUGACUCACCCUUGACCAGUGUGGGACCCAGGCUGGUAUCAUGAGCCGAGUGCAGCCUGCCAGAUCGAGUGGGCAAAAUGAGCCCAGCGGGCCCGAGCAAAACUCGGGCAAAGGUGCCACCAACCACAGAGUUUAUGGCCAGAAAAAUUGACACCCCAAAGAUCUUUUUCUGUUGUUGUUGUUCAUUCGUCAAACAUUUAUUGAGCGCCUGCUACAUGCAAAACACUAUUAACUAGUGCACAGACAUUCUCAGAACAACAAUCCUGCAUUUCCUGGAGAGGGAUGGCAGAAGAGGAGUGCUGCCUUGUUGUGAGGUUCUCCCAACUUCUUUUCUUCCUUGGGAAUUGUUCUCUUCAAUGUGGCACCAGCGGCAACCUUCAUUCUUAGGUCGCACAAACCUUCAAUAUCCAUCCUGCUUCCUUUAUAGCUGUUUCACUUGAAAACUAAUAUGUGGGAGCACUUCCUGCAGCAAACUGCUCUUGAAUUCUUUUUUUUAAUUAAUUUAUUUUUUUAAGACGGAGUUUCAUUCCUGUUGCCUAGGCUGGAGUACAAUGGUGCGAUCUCAGCUCACCACAACCUCUGCCUCCUGGGUUCAAGCGACUCUCCUGCCUCAGCCUCCCAAGUAGCUAGGAUUACAGGCAUGCACCACCAUGCCCAGAGAAUUUUGUAUUUUUAGUAGAGACGGGGUUUCUCCAUGUUGUUCAGGCUGGUCUCAAACUCCCAACCUCAGGUGAUCUGCUCGCCUCAGCUCCCAAAGUGCUGGGAUUACAGGUGUGAGCCACCACACCUGGCCAACACCCCAAAGAUCUUAUAACAGUGUAACCAUCUGACUUGCAGUUUUCUUUGUGGGAUGAUUUUUAAUUACAAAUUUAACUUCUUUAAUAGAUAUGCAACUAUUUAGAUUAUUUCUUCUUGAGUGAGCUUUGGUAUUAUUUUUCAAGGAAUUUAUCCAUUUCAUCAAAGAUGCUGAAUUUACUGGCAUAAAGUUAUUUGUAAUAUUUUGUUAUUAUGCUUUUAUAUCUGUAGAAUCUGUAGUAAUCCCAACCUUUCUCAUUUCUUAUAUCAGUAUUUUGUGUCUCCAUUUUUUUCCCUGAUCAGUUUGGCUAGAGGUUUAUCAAUUUUACUGAUAUCUUCUUUUUUUUUUGUUGUUGGUCUUACUAGAAAUAUUAUAUUACUCUGUGUGUACUUGAGAAGAAUGUGUAUUCUGCUGUUGUGGGAUUCUGUGAGUGGACUUCAAAAAGUUCCACUUCAAAAAGGGGAAAAGUGGAAUAAAAAUUUAAAAAAUUUAAAAAUUUAAAAAGUGGAGAUAUAAAUUAAAAAAUGUAAGCUGGGCACGGUGGCUCACGCCUGUAAUCCCAGCACUUUGGGAGGCUGAGGCAGGCAGAUCACAAAGUCAGGAGAUCGAGACCAUCCUGGCUAACGUGGUGAAAUCCCGACUCUACUAAAAAUACAAAACAUUAGCCAGGCGUGGUGGCGGGCACCUGUAGUCCCAGCUACUUGGGAGGCUGAGGCAGGAGAAUGGCGUGAACCCGGGAGGCGGAGCUUGCAGUGAGCCGAGAUUGUGCCCCUGCACUCCAGCCUGGGCAACAGAGCGAGACUCCGUCUCAAUAAAUAAAUAAAUAAAUAAAUGUAAACUUUAUUUCUCAACAUAAGCUCCAUCAAGUUCAAGAUGUUUUUGUGAGCAAUGAUAGCAGCCAUUUAGUCCAUCCGUAAAGAACUGAGGGUCCUGGGAGUUUAACUAUGUCAAUGCAAUCUAUUUUACAUUAUUAACAGAAGAAAAAUGAAUGCCCUUUAAAGAUUUCUUGAGAUUAGAAAUCAAAAAGUAGUCAGAAGGAGCCAAAUGAGGACUGUAAGGUGGAUGCCUAAUGAUUCCCUAAUGGUCACAAUUGAUGAGAGGAAUGAGCAGGAGUAUUAUCGUGGUGGAGAAGGACUCUGGUGAAACUUUCCCGGGCAUUUCUCUGCGAAAGCUUUGGCUAACUUUGUCAAAAUACCGCAUAAUAAGCAGAUGAUAUUGUUCCUUGGCCCUCCAGAAAGUCAACAAGCAAGAUGCCUUGAGCAUGCUGAAAAAGUGUUGCCUUGACCAUUGCUCUUGACUGGUCCACUUCUGCUCUGCCUGGCCCGCUGCCAUGAUAGUGCUUUGUCUUUAGGAUCACACUGAUAGAAGGCCAUGUUUCAUUUCUUCUUACAGUUCUUCAAAGAAAUGCUUCAGGAUCCGGAGCCCACCUGUUUAAAAUUUUCACUGAAAGCUUGGCUCUUGUCUGCAGUGGAACUGGGCACAACAGUUUUGGCACCCAUUGAGUAGAACGUUUGCUCAACUUUAAUUUUUCAGUCAGAAUUGUAUAAGCUGAGCCAACUGAGAUGUCUGUGGUGUUGGCUGUUGUUUGUACUGUUAGUCAUUGGUCCUUUUCAAUGCAUGAACAAGAUGAAUUUUUUCCUUACAAAUUGAUGUGGAUGGUCUGCCACUGUGGGCUUCAGUUUCAGCAUCAUCUCAUCCCUUCUUAAAACGAGUGAACCAUUUGUAAACUGCUGAUGUCUUUGGGGCAUUAUCUCUGUCAACAUUUCAUAAGGCAUCAAUGAUUUCACCAUUCUUCCACCUAAGCUUCACCAUAAAUUUGAUAUUUGUUCUUGCUCAGUGUUAGCAGAAUUCAUGUUGCUCUGAUUGGGGCUCUUUUCAAACUGGAGUCUUAUCCUUCUUAGCGUCUCAAGCUAGAUAGUGUUCAGACAUGUUAUAAUAAGUUAGUAUGAAUUUAUUUUGGUGCAAAAAGAAAUUGAGGCAGGCUGAUGCCUGUAAUCCCAGCUACUUGGGAGGCUGAGGUGGGAGAAUCACUUGGACCCAGGAAAUGGAGGAUGCAGUAAACUAUGAUUCCACCACUGCACCCCAGCCUGGGUGACAGAGUGACAACCUGUCUCAAAAAAAAAUUGAAAUCCACAUGUAGUUUUUCAUACUCCACAUUUUUCAUGAACUUUUUGAAGUCCCCUCAUAUACAUCAGAUCAGGCGAGCUGCUAGUGUUGUUCAGGUCUACUAUAUCCUUGCUGA
RNAcentral lists this long non-coding RNA (9313 nucleotides) under Homo sapiens (human). RNAcentral's name for it is "non-protein coding lnc-LDLRAD1-3:1". Lineage: Eukaryota; Metazoa; Chordata; Mammalia; Primates; Hominidae. The record is from RNAcentral.